This 22-nucleotide microRNA is filed under the name Ateles geoffroyi (black-handed spider monkey). The record is from RNAcentral. Lineage: Eukaryota; Metazoa; Chordata; Mammalia; Primates; Atelidae.
UUCACAAGGAGCUGUCAUUCAU